Xenia sp. Carnegie-2017 is the source of this 248-nucleotide long non-coding RNA. RefSeq lists it as uncharacterized. The transcript is spliced from 3 exons. The record is from RefSeq and is a predicted model, not a curated record. NCBI's taxonomy places the organism in Eukaryota, Metazoa, Cnidaria, Anthozoa, Malacalcyonacea, Xeniidae.
CCUAUGUUUACUAACGAGCAGCUGUUAGAUAGAAUUUAUGACCCCGACCAUACUCUGUGUCGAAAUUUUGGAGCUGAAAUAUAUGUGCCAAAGCACGCUCAUGACGGAAAGACUUGUACUGCAAUAAGAUCUGAAGCUUCUGGCAAUUGCCUCUACAGUUCAGCUUCCCUAGUUCUGGUUUACCUCUUCGUGGGCAUCGUGAUGAUUCCAAGUAUCACCCUACUGUUGGUUGUUAUUCAUCUGGAGGG